This 575-nucleotide ribosomal RNA is filed under the name Pseudocercospora eumusae. Its description in RNAcentral is "partial large subunit ribosomal RNA". It matches the Rfam family "Bacterial large subunit ribosomal RNA", at positions 1851 to 2620 of the family's 2925-position model. The record is from RNAcentral. Lineage: Eukaryota; Fungi; Ascomycota; Dothideomycetes; Mycosphaerellales; Mycosphaerellaceae.
GGUCUCGCCUGCCUGUGACCAUGAGUUUAACGGCCGCGGUAUUUUGACCGUGCAAAGGUAGCGCAAUCACUUGUCUUUUAAAUGAAGACCUGUAUGAAUGGCAUAACGAGGGCUUAACUGUCUCCCUUUUCCAGUCAAUGAAAUUGAUCUCCCCGUGCAGAAGCGGGGAUUAAAACAUAAGACGAGAAGAACCCUUUGGAGCUUUAGACAAAGAGCAGACCAUGUUAAACACACCUAAAUAAAGGACAAAACCAAUUGGCCCCUGCCCUUAUGUCUUUGGUUGGGGCGACCGCGGGGAAACAAAAAACCCCCAUGUGGACUGAAGACAUUCCUCUUCACAACCAAGAGCCACAGCUCUAAGCAACAGAACAUCUGACCAACAAGAUCCGGCACUAAGCCGAUCAACGGACCGAGUUACCCUAGGGAUAACAGCGCAAUCUCUCUUUUAGAGCCCCCAUCGACAAGGAGGUUUACGACCUCGAUGUUGGAUCAGGACAUCCUAAUGGUGCAGCCGCUAUUAAGGGUUCGUUUGUUCAACGAUUAAAGUCCCUACAGGGAUCUGAGUUUCGAACCGG